GGCCAGACUCCUACGGGAGGCAGCAGUGAGGAAUAUUGGUCAAUGGGCUUACGCCUGAACCAGCCAAGUCGCGUGAGGGAAGACUGCCCUAUGGGUUGUAAACCUCUUUUGUCAGGGAGCAAUUGGCGCUACGUGUAGCGUUAUCGAGAGUACCUGAAGAAAAAGCAUCGGCUAACUCCGUGCCAGCAGCCGCGGUAAUACGGAGGAUGCGAGCGUUAUCCGGAUUUAUUGGGUUUAAAGGGUGCGUAGGCGGAAUGCCAAGUCAGCGGUAAAAUCGCGGGGCUCAACCUCGCUCCGCCGUUGAAACUGGCGUCCUUGAGUGGGCGAGAAGUAUGCGGAAUGCGUGGUGUAGCGGUGAAAUGCAUAGAUAUCACGCAGAACUCCGAUUGCGAAGGCAGCAUACCGGCGCCCAACUGGCGCUCAUGCACGAAAGCGUGGGUAUCGAACAGGAUUAGAUACCCGUGUAC
This 467-nucleotide ribosomal RNA is filed under the name uncultured bacterium. RNAcentral describes it as "bacterial SSU rRNA". It matches the Rfam family "Bacterial small subunit ribosomal RNA", at positions 329 to 793 of the family's 1533-position model. The record is from RNAcentral.